AACGCACCUUGCACCCUUUGGUAUUCCGAAGGGUAUGCCCGUUUGAGUGUCAUUGUAAUCUCACACCCAAGACUUCUUGUCGAGGGAGGUGGACUUGGACGUUUUGCUGCGUAACUGCGGCUUGUCUCAAAAGUGUCAGCGCGGCUCUAGAUGAAGCGUUUGAUGCCCAGUGUAAUAAGUAUUUCGCUGUGGUUAGCAUUAGUCUACGAGUUGUUGUGCUCUCUAAUCGUCUUCGGACUGGACCAGCGAUGGUUCAUUUGACAACUUGGCCUCAAAUCGGGUAGGACUUCCCGCUGAACUUAA
This 303-nucleotide unclassified non-coding RNA is filed under the name uncultured fungus. Its description in RNAcentral is "partial contains 5.8S ribosomal RNA, internal transcribed spacer 2, and large subunit ribosomal RNA". The record is from RNAcentral. Lineage: Eukaryota; Fungi.